RNAcentral lists this small nuclear RNA (176 nucleotides) under Vicugna pacos (alpaca). Its description in RNAcentral is "U1 spliceosomal RNA (ENSVPAG00000016300.1)". It matches the Rfam family "U1 spliceosomal RNA". From Rfam's summary of the family: U1 is a small nuclear RNA (snRNA) component of the spliceosome (involved in pre-mRNA splicing). Its 5' end forms complementary base pairs with the 5' splice junction, thus defining the 5' donor site of an intron. Lineage: Eukaryota; Metazoa; Chordata; Mammalia; Artiodactyla; Camelidae. The record is from RNAcentral.
AAAAUUAAAUGGUUUCUACUGAUUAAACAAUACAAUUCAAAUGAAUUAACAACAGCCAUGAAACUGAGGCUCAUCUAUUGCACUCCAGAUGUGCUGACCCCUGCGAUUCCACCAAAUGUGGGAAACUCAACUUCAAAAUUUGUGGUAGUGGGGAACGGUGUUCACACUCCCCCCCC